This 2900-nucleotide ribosomal RNA is filed under the name Klebsiella pneumoniae. RNAcentral's name for it is "bacterial LSU rRNA". It matches the Rfam family "Bacterial large subunit ribosomal RNA". Lineage: Bacteria; Pseudomonadati; Pseudomonadota; Gammaproteobacteria; Enterobacterales; Enterobacteriaceae. The record is from RNAcentral.
UUAAGCGACUAAGCGUACACGGUGGAUGCCCUGGCAGUCAGAGGCGAUGAAGGACGUGCUAAUCUGCGAAAAGCGUCGGUAAGGUGAUAUGAACCGUUAUAACCGGCGAUGUCCGAAUGGGGAAACCCAGUGCAAUUCGUUGCACUAUCGUUAACUGAAUACAUAGGUUAACGAGGCGAACCGGGGGAACUGAAACAUCUAAGUACCCCGAGGAAAAGAAAUCAACCGAGAUUCCCCCAGUAGCGGCGAGCGAACGGGGAGCAGCCCAGAGUCUGAAUCAGCUUGUGUGUUAGUGGAACGGUCUGGAAAGUCCGACGGUACAGGGUGAUAGUCCCGUACACCAAAAUGCACAGGUUGUGAACUCGAAGAGUAGGGCGGGACACGUGGUAUCCUGUCUGAAUAUGGGGGGACCAUCCUCCAAGGCUAAAUACUCCUGACUGACCGAUAGUGAACCAGUACCGUGAGGGAAAGGCGAAAAGAACCCCGGCGAGGGGAGUGAAAAAGAACCUGAAACCGUGUACGUACAAGCAGUGGGAGCACCUUCGGGUGUGACUGCGUACCUUUUGUAUAAUGGGUCAGCGACUUAUAUUCUGUAGCAAGGUUAACCGUAUAGGGGAGCCGCAGGGAAACCGAGUCUUAACUGGGCGUUAAGUUGCAGGGUAUAGACCCGAAACCCGGUGAUCUAGCCAUGGGCAGGUUGAAGGUUGGGUAACACUAACUGGAGGACCGAACCGACUAAUGUUGAAAAAUUAGCGGAUGACUUGUGGCUGGGGGUGAAAGGCCAAUCAAACCGGGAGAUAGCUGGUUCUCCCCGAAAGCUAUUUAGGUAGCGCCUCGUGAACUCAUCUUCGGGGGUAGAGCACUGUUUCGGCUAGGGGGUCAUCCCGACUUACCAACCCGAUGCAAACUACGAAUACCGAAGAAUGUUAUCACGGGAGACACACGGCGGGUGCUAACGUCCGUCGUGAAGAGGGAAACAACCCAGACCGCCAGCUAAGGUCCCAAAGUCAUGGUUAAGUGGGAAACGAUGUGGGAAGGCACAGACAGCCAGGAUGUUGGCUUAGAAGCAGCCAUCAUUUAAAGAAAGCGUAAUAGCUCACUGGUCGAGUCGGCCUGCGCGGAAGAUGUAACGGGGCUAAACCAUGCACCGAAGCUGCGGCAGCGACACUAUGUGUUGUUGGGUAGGGGAGCGUUCUGUAAGCCUGCGAAGGUGGCCUGUGAGGGUUGCUGGAGGUAUCAGAAGUGCGAAUGCUGACAUAAGUAACGAUAAAGCGGGUGAAAAGCCCGCUCGCCGGAAGACCAAGGGUUCCUGUCCAACGUUAAUCGGGGCAGGGUGAGUCGACCCCUAAGGCGAGGCCGAAAGGCGUAGUCGAUGGGAAACAGGUUAAUAUUCCUGUACUUGGUGUUACUGCGAAGGGGGGACGGAGAAGGCUAUGUUAGCCGGGCGACGGUUGUCCCGGUUUAAGCAUGUAGGCUGGUUAUCCAGGCAAAUCCGGAUAAUCAAGGCUGAGGUGUGAUGACGAGGCACUACGGUGCUGAAGUAACAAAUGCCCUGCUUCCAGGAAAAGCCUCUAAGCAUCAGGUAACAUCAAAUCGUACCCCAAACCGACACAGGUGGUCAGGUAGAGAAUACCAAGGCGCUUGAGAGAACUCGGGUGAAGGAACUAGGCAAAAUGGUGCCGUAACUUCGGGAGAAGGCACGCUGGUGUGUAGGUGAAGUCCCUGCGGAUGGAGCUGAGACCAGUCGAAGAUACCAGCUGGCUGCAACUGUUUAUUAAAAACACAGCACUGUGCAAACACGAAAGUGGACGUAUACGGUGUGACGCCUGCCCGGUGCCGGAAGGUUAAUUGAUGGGGUUAUCCGUAAGGAGAAGCUCUUGAUCGAAGCCCCGGUAAACGGCGGCCGUAACUAUAACGGUCCUAAGGUAGCGAAAUUCCUUGUCGGGUAAGUUCCGACCUGCACGAAUGGCGUAAUGAUGGCCAGGCUGUCUCCACCCGAGACUCAGUGAAAUUGAACUCGCUGUGAAGAUGCAGUGUACCCGCGGCAAGACGGAAAGACCCCGUGAACCUUUACUAUAGCUUGACACUGAACAUUGAGCCUUGAUGUGUAGGAUAGGUGGGAGGCUUUGAAGCGUGGACGCCAGUCUGCGUGGAGCCAACCUUGAAAUACCACCCUUUAAUGUUUGAUGUUCUAACGUUGGCCCCUGACCGGGGUUGCGGACAGUGUCUGGUGGGUAGUUUGACUGGGGCGGUCUCCUCCCAAAGCGUAACGGAGGAGCACGAAGGUUAGCUAAUCCUGGUCGGACAUCAGGAGGUUAGUGCAAUGGCAUAAGCUAGCUUGACUGCGAGCGUGACGGCGCGAGCAGGUGCGAAAGCAGGUCAUAGUGAUCCGGUGGUUCUGAAUGGAAGGGCCAUCGCUCAACGGAUAAAAGGUACUCCGGGGAUAACAGGCUGAUACCGCCCAAGAGUUCAUAUCGACGGCGGUGUUUGGCACCUCGAUGUCGGCUCAUCACAUCCUGGGGCUGAAGUAGGUCCCAAGGGUAUGGCUGUUCGCCAUUUAAAGUGGUACGCGAGCUGGGUUUAGAACGUCGUGAGACAGUUCGGUCCCUAUCUGCCGUGGGCGCUGGAGAAUUGAGGGGGGCUGCUCCUAGUACGAGAGGACCGGAGUGGACGCAUCACUGGUGUUCGGGUUGUCAUGCCAAUGGCACUGCCCGGUAGCUAAAUGCGGAAGAGAUAAGUGCUGAAAGCAUCUAAGCACGAAACUUGCCCCGAGAUGAGUUCUCCCUGAGACUUUAAGUCUCCUGAAGGAACGUUAAAGACGAUGACGUUGAUAGGCCGGGUGUGUAAGCGCAGCGAUGCGUUGAGCUAACCGGUACUAAUGAACCGUGAGGCUUAACCUU